Molecule: ribosomal RNA, 198 nt
Filed under: uncultured bacterium
Lineage: Bacteria
Description: partial 16S ribosomal RNA
Rfam family: Bacterial small subunit ribosomal RNA
Source: RNAcentral
ACGCUCGACACCUACGGAAGGCAGCAGUGGGGAAUAUUGCACAAUGGGGGAAACCCUGAUGCAGCGACGCCGCGUGGAGGAAGAAGGUCUUCGGAUUGUAAACUCCUGUUGUUGGGGAAAAAGAGGAUGGUACCCAACAAGGAAGUGACGGCUAACUACGUGCAAGCAGCCGCGGUAAUCUGAGCGGGCUGGCAAGGC